GAUGAACGCUGGCGGCGUGCCUAAUACAUGCAAGUCGAGCGAACAGACGAGGAGUUUGCUCCUCUGACGUUAGCGGCGGACGGGUGAGUAACACGUGGAUCACCUCCCUAUACGACUGGGAUAACUUCGGGAAACCGGCGCUAAUACCGGAAAAUAUAUUGAACCGCAUGGUUCAAUAGUGAAAGACGGUUUUGCUGUCACUUAUAGAUGGAUCCGCGCCGCAUUAGCUAGUUGGUAAGGUAACGGCUUACCAAGGCAACGAUGCGUAGCCGCCCUGAGAGGGGGAUCGGCCACCCUGGAACUGAGCCACGGUCCAGCCUCCUACGGGAGGCAGCAGUAGGGAAUCUUCCGCAAUGGGCGAAAGCCUGACGGAGCAACGCCGCGUGAGUGAUGAAGGUCUUCGGAUCGUAAAACUCUGUUAUUAGGGAAGAACAAAUGUGUAAGUAACUAUGCACGUCUUGACGGUACCUAAUCAGAAAGCCACGGCUAACUACGUG
Molecule: ribosomal RNA, 497 nt
Filed under: uncultured bacterium
Lineage: Bacteria
Description: partial 16S ribosomal RNA
Rfam family: Bacterial small subunit ribosomal RNA
Source: RNAcentral